CAUAAUGUAUCUCAGUGAUAGAGUGCUUGCCUAGUAAAGGCAAGACCCUGGGUUCUAUUCCCAGCAUUGCAA
This 72-nucleotide transfer RNA is filed under the name Neotoma lepida (desert woodrat). It matches the Rfam family "tRNA". Rfam says of the family: Transfer RNA (tRNA) molecules are approximately 80 nucleotides in length. Their secondary structure includes four short double-helical elements and three loops (D, anti-codon, and T loops). The record is from Rfam by way of RNAcentral. Lineage: Eukaryota; Metazoa; Chordata; Mammalia; Rodentia; Cricetidae.